AUUGAACGCUGGCGGCAGGCCUAACACAUGCAAGUCGAACGGUAACAGGAAACAGCUUGCUGUUUCGCUGACGAGUGGCGGACGGGUGAGUAAUGUCUGGGAAACUGCCUGAUGGAGGGGGAUAACUACUGGAAACGGUAGCUAUACCGCAUAACGUCGCAAGACCAAAGAGGGGGACCCUCGGGCCUCUUGCCAUCGGAUGUGCCCAGAUGGGAUUAGCUUGGUGGUGGGGUAACGGCUCACCAAGGCGACGAUCCCUAGCUGGUCUGAGAGGAUGACCAGCCACACUGGAACUGAGACACGGUCCAGACUCCUACGGGAGGCAGCAGUGGGGAAUAUUGCACAAUGGGCGCAAGCCUGAUGCAGCCAUGCCGCGUGUAUGAAGAAGGCCUUCGGGUUGUAAAGUACUUUCAGCGGGGAGGAAGGGAGUAAAGUUAAUACCUUUGCUCAUUGACGUUACCCGCAGAAGAAGCACCGGCUAACUCCGUG
Molecule: ribosomal RNA, 489 nt
Filed under: uncultured bacterium
Lineage: Bacteria
Description: partial 16S ribosomal RNA
Rfam family: Bacterial small subunit ribosomal RNA
Source: RNAcentral